UACGUAGGGGGCUAGCGUUGUCCGGAAUCAUUGGGCGUAAAGAGCGUGUAGGCGGCCAGGUAGGUCAGCUGUGAAAACUCGAGGCUCAACCUCGAGACGUCGGUUGAAACCACCUGGCUAGAGUCCGGAAGAGGAGAGUGGAAUUCCCGGUGUAGCGGUGAAAUGCGCAGAUAUCGGGAAGAACACCCGUGGCGAAGGCGGCUCUCUGGGACGGUACUGACGCUGAGACGCGAAAGCGUGGGGAGCGAACAGG
This 253-nucleotide ribosomal RNA is filed under the name uncultured bacterium. Its description in RNAcentral is "partial 16S ribosomal RNA". It matches the Rfam family "Bacterial small subunit ribosomal RNA", at positions 524 to 776 of the family's 1533-position model. The record is from RNAcentral.